This 72-nucleotide transfer RNA is filed under the name Apaloderma vittatum (bar-tailed trogon). It matches the Rfam family "tRNA". Rfam says of the family: Transfer RNA (tRNA) molecules are approximately 80 nucleotides in length. Their secondary structure includes four short double-helical elements and three loops (D, anti-codon, and T loops). Further hydrogen bonds mediate the characteristic L-shaped molecular structure. tRNAs have two regions of fundamental functional importance: the anti-codon, which is responsible for specific mRNA codon recognition, and the 3' end, to which the tRNAs corresponding amino acid is attached (by aminoacyl-tRNA synthetases). tRNAs cope with the degeneracy of the genetic code in two manners: having more than one tRNA (with a specific anti-codon) for a particular amino acid; and 'wobble' base-pairing, i.e. permitting non-standard base-pairing at the 3rd anti-codon position. The record is from Rfam by way of RNAcentral. Lineage: Eukaryota; Metazoa; Chordata; Aves; Trogoniformes; Trogonidae.
GGCUGCUUAGCUCAGUCAGCUGAGCGUGGCGCUGACAACGCCAAGGUCGCGGGUUCAAUUCCUGUUCGGUCU